UACGGGGGGGGCAAGCGUUGUUCGGAAUUACUGGGCGUAAAGGGCUCGUAGGCGGCCAACUAAGUCGGACGUGAAAUCCCCAGGCUCAACCUGGGAACUGCGUCCGAUACUGGAUGGCUUGAAUCCGGGAGAGGGAUGCAGAAUUCCAGGUGUAGCGGUGAAAUGCGUAGAUAUCUGGAGGAACACCGGUGGCGAAGGCGGCAUCCUGGACCAACACUGACGCUGAGUGAGCGAAAGCCAGGGGAGCAAACGGG
This 254-nucleotide ribosomal RNA is filed under the name uncultured bacterium. RNAcentral's name for it is "partial 16S ribosomal RNA". It matches the Rfam family "Bacterial small subunit ribosomal RNA", at positions 524 to 776 of the family's 1533-position model. The record is from RNAcentral.